This is a non-coding RNA of Pelobates cultripes (western spadefoot toad), 204 nucleotides long. The record is from the annotation of a GenBank genome assembly. NCBI's taxonomy places the organism in Eukaryota, Metazoa, Chordata, Amphibia, Anura, Pelobatidae.
GUCCAGUCCAAUUGCUGGGACGUGAUAUGCUAUCCAAAUUACAAGCGCAGAUUACGUUCCUACCAAAUGGAACAACAUCCUUAAAGUUUAAUGGACCCUCAGGUAUUAUGACAUUGUCCGUACCAAAGGAAGAAGAGUGGCGACUUUAUACAGUGUUGACUAGCCAAAACCCGAGGAGUGAUGAAUCCUUAUUUAACAUACCAG